RNAcentral lists this transfer RNA (61 nucleotides) under Erinaceus europaeus (western European hedgehog). It matches the Rfam family "tRNA", at positions 6 to 65 of the family's 71-position model. From Rfam's summary of the family: Transfer RNA (tRNA) molecules are approximately 80 nucleotides in length. The record is from Rfam by way of RNAcentral. Lineage: Eukaryota; Metazoa; Chordata; Mammalia; Eulipotyphla; Erinaceidae.
UGUAGCUCAGUGGCAGAGCACAUGCUUCAUACGUCUGAGGUUUGGGGUUUAAUUCCCUGCA